AGAAGGAGGUGACAAUGCUGUCAACAUUCCACAAUUGAUGAUACUGUGAUUGAAGUAGACAGCAGAAAUGGAAAGAAAACUAAGGAGCCAUGUGCCAUUGUGGAUUAUAACAAGAAUAUGGGAGCGGUGGAUUUGGCUGAUCAGAUGCUCACUUCUUAACCAACUGAGAUCAAAUGUUUGGUAUAAGAAAUUAUUUCACUACCUUCUAAAAAUUACAGUGCUGGACUCCUACAUCCUGUUCAAGAAGGACAAUCCUGAGCACACAAUUAGCCAUGUAAACUUCAGACUGACAUCGAUUGAAAGAAUGCUGGAAAAAUAUCACAGACCAUAGCUGGAAUAUCUUUGAGGUCGUCCAUGCUCUGAUGAUGUCACUCUUCUUUGCCUGUCUGGAAGACAUCUCCCCAAGAGCACACCACCAACAUCAGGGGGGUGGAAUCCAACUGGUCACUGCAAGUUUGCUGCUUACACAAUGACAAGCAUAGCAAGAUCUGGAGAGAAACGGAAUAUUUUUGUGUAUAAUAUGAUGUUCUGCUUUGUGUUGUUCUGUGCUUUGAAAUUUACCAAAUUAAAAAAAAACUACU
Molecule: long non-coding RNA, 581 nt
Filed under: Homo sapiens (human)
Lineage: Eukaryota; Metazoa; Chordata; Mammalia; Primates; Hominidae
Description: non-protein coding lnc-SPINK7-2:1
Source: RNAcentral